This 486-nucleotide ribosomal RNA is filed under the name uncultured Bacteroidota bacterium. Its description in RNAcentral is "bacterial SSU rRNA". It matches the Rfam family "Bacterial small subunit ribosomal RNA", at positions 28 to 507 of the family's 1533-position model. Lineage: Bacteria; Pseudomonadati; Bacteroidota. The record is from RNAcentral.
GACGAACGCUAGCGGCAGGCCUAACACAUGCAAGUCGAACGGUUUUUUGUCUUCGGAUAAAAGACGAGUGGCGCACGGGUGCGUAACGCGUAUACAACUUACCCUCCAGUGUGGGAUAGCCCGGAGAAAUCCGGAAUAAUACCACAUGGACUUGCGAUGCUGCAUAACAUUGCAAGUAAAGAUUCAUCGCUGGGGGAUGGGUAUGCGUCCCAUUAGGUAGUUGGUGAGGUAACGGCUCACCAAGCCGACGAUGGGUAGCUGGUCUGAGAGGAUGAUCAGCCACACGGGCACUGAGACACGGGCCCGACUCCUACGGGAGGCAGCAGUGGGGAAUAUUGGACAAUGGGCGAAAGCCUGAUCCAGCGACGCCGCGUGGGUGAAGAAGGCCUGCGGGUUGUAAAGCCCUUUCGGUAGGGACGAAAGCUUCCGACCUAACACGUCGGGAGGUUGACUUAACCUACAGAAGAAGCACCGGCUAACUCUGUG